RNAcentral lists this long non-coding RNA (346 nucleotides) under Capsella grandiflora. RNAcentral's name for it is "long non-coding RNA (CGRA_LNC000427)". Lineage: Eukaryota; Viridiplantae; Streptophyta; Magnoliopsida; Brassicales; Brassicaceae. The record is from RNAcentral.
UUUUUCUGUUUUCCACAAGUGUUGCACGUUUCAGGUUGAUCAUCAUUUUUGCACACAGAUGGAGAUGGAAAUAUUUCAGGUUGAUCAUCAUUUUUGCACACAGAUGGAGAUGUAAAUAUUUCAGGUUGAUCAUCAUUUUUGCACACAGAUGGAGAUGGAAAUAUUUCAGGUUGAUCAUCAUUUUUGCACACAGAUGGAGAUGGAAAUAUUUCAGGUUGAUCAUCAUUUUUGCACCCAGAUGGAGAUGGAAUCACCACAUCAGGACUCAUAAUGCAGUCAUCUCCAUUUGCAACAAUGACACAUGCAUCCAGCUCAACUCCUGCAGGGUCCCUCUUUCUUUUCAAAG